UCGGGAAUUUUGCUCAAUGGGGGAAACCCUGAAGCAGCAACGCCGCGUGCGGGAUGAAGGCCUUCGGGUUGUAAACCGCUUUUACCAGGGACGAUGAUGACGGUACCUGAUGAAUAAGUCACGGCUAACUACGUGCCAGCAGCCGCGGUAAUACGUAGGUGACCAGCGUUGUCCGGAUUUACUGGGCGUAAAGAGCGCGCAGGCGGUCGUUCAAGUCGAGUGUGAAAGCCCCCGGCUCAACUGGGGAGGGUCAUUCGAUACUGAUCGACUGGAAGGCAGGAGAGGGAAGCGGAAUUCCCGGUGUAGUGGUGAAAUGCGUAGAUAUCGGGAGGAACACCAGUGGCGAAGGCGGCUUCCUGGCCUGUUCUUGACGCUGAGGCGCGAAAGCUAGGGGAGCAAACGGG
Molecule: ribosomal RNA, 404 nt
Filed under: uncultured Chloroflexota bacterium
Lineage: Bacteria; Bacillati; Chloroflexota
Description: bacterial SSU rRNA
Rfam family: Bacterial small subunit ribosomal RNA
Source: RNAcentral